RNAcentral lists this ribosomal RNA (267 nucleotides) under uncultured bacterium. Its description in RNAcentral is "partial 16S ribosomal RNA". It matches the Rfam family "Bacterial small subunit ribosomal RNA", at positions 793 to 1055 of the family's 1533-position model. The record is from RNAcentral.
GUCCACGCCGUAAACGAUGGGCACUAGGUGUAGGAGGUAUUGACCCCUUCUGUGCCGAAGCUAACGCAUUAAGUGCCCCGCCUGGGGGAGUACGGCCGCAAGGCUAAAACUCAAAGGAAUUGACGGGGGCCCGCACAAGCGGUGGAGCAUGUGGUUCAAUUCGACGCAACGCGAAGAACCUUACCUGGGUUUGACAUCCGCUGACAGUCCCGGAAACGGGAUUUUCCCCGCAAGGGGACAGCGAGACAGGUGCUGCAUGGCUGUCGU